Long non-coding RNA from Carassius gibelio (silver crucian carp), 1055 nucleotides. RefSeq lists it as uncharacterized. The record is from RefSeq and is a predicted model, not a curated record. NCBI's taxonomy places the organism in Eukaryota, Metazoa, Chordata, Actinopteri, Cypriniformes, Cyprinidae. The transcript is spliced from 2 exons.
GCUGUAUCCCUGCCAUUCAACUGUAUGGUGAGAAGUGUUCGCUCCUUCCAAUGCAUGUGAACUGUAUACUUGCCUGAAACAUCCAUUCUGUCCGUCUCAGAAGAAGCCCCAUUCAGCCUGUUGACUUCGAGUCUGCUGUAUCCCUGCUAUUCGUCUGUAUUGUGAGAAGUGUUCGUUCCUUCCAAUGCAUGUGAACUGUAUACUUGCCUGAAACAUCCAUUCUGUCUGUCUCAGAAGAAGCCCCAUUCAGCCUGUUGACUUCGAGUCUGCUGUAUCCCUGCUAUUCAUCUGUAUGAGGAAGCCCCAUUCAGCCUGUUGACUUCGAGUCUGCUGUAUCCCUGCUAUUCAUCUGUAUUGUGAGAAGUGUUCGUUCCUUCCAACGCAUGUGAACUGUAUACUUUGUCUGAAGCAUCCAUUCUGUCUGUUUCAGUAGAAACCCUGCACAGCCUGUUGACUUAGAGUUUGUUGCAUCCUUGUGGCUCACCUGUGCUGAGAGAGGUGACUGUCCUUUGUCACGAACGUGAGAUGGGCACGCUUUGUCUGGAAUAUCCACUCUGACGGUGUCAGGAGAAGCCACCUUACUGUAAGACCGUGCACCUGCCGUAUACGUACUCGACUGAUAUCAUUCACCUCAAAUUCCGUACCUGUGGAAGAAGGAAGGAAGGCUGGAAUUACAUACUUACCGGAGGAGACUUACCGGACCCCUCACUUGCCAAACACAUCCCCACCUCAAGGCUGUGUAUCUGCCGUGUACGGACCUGACCGAUAUCCAUCCGUCCCAAAUUCUGCAUCUGUGAAGAAGGGAAGGAAGUUUGGAAGUAUUUAAUUACCAGAGGAGACUUACCAGACUGCGGGCUUGCCGAUCGUAUUCCCACCUGUGAAAUACCUACUUGACCACCCAUCUGUCCAUCUAUUGCGGGGCCCGCACAGAGGAAGAGGGCGGGAGAGUCCCCGGUCGCUGCAUUGUUUACCUUCAAGCCCUGAGGGUAACAAAGAAGAUUUUAGGUUAGGAUUCCCAAUUUGCUUUUACUUCAAAAUAAAACUUGUUAAAUUUA